GGGAGUAUGUGCGUUAAAGAAGGAUUGUACUGAACUGCGCCAUGAUGUAUCCAAAUCUGAUGUUUACACGAUACGUACAGUCAAAUCUGUGGUCAAAGUUUACUGUGAUAUGACUACAGAUGGCGGAGGAUGGACUAUAAUCCAGAGAAGAUUAGAUGGAUCUGUUAAUUUCCAGAAAACUUGGACAGAUUACGAGAAUGGAUUUGGAAAUGUUGAUGGAGAAUACUGGCUA
Mytilus californianus (California mussel) is the source of this 232-nucleotide long non-coding RNA. RefSeq lists it as uncharacterized. The record is from RefSeq and is a predicted model, not a curated record. NCBI's taxonomy places the organism in Eukaryota, Metazoa, Mollusca, Bivalvia, Mytilida, Mytilidae. The transcript has 2 exons.